GUGAGGAAUAUUGGUCAAUGGGCGAGAGCCUGAACCAGCCAAGUCGCGUGAAGGAAGAAGGAUCUAUGGUUCGUAAACUUCUUUUGCAGGGGAAUAAAGUGCGGGACGUGUCCUGUUUUGUAUGUACCCUGAGAAUAAGGAUCGGCUAACUCCGUGCCAGCAGCCGCGGUAAUACGGAGGAUCCGAGCGUUAUCCGGAUUUAUUGGGUUUAAAGGGUGCGUAGGUGGUUUGAUAAGUCAGCGGUGAAAGUUUGCAGCUUAACUGUAAAAAUGCCGUUGAAACUGUCGGACUUGAGUGUAAAUGAGGUAGGCGGAAUGCGUGGUGUAGCGGUGAAAUGCAUAGAUAUCACGCAGAACUCCGAUUGCGAAGGCAGCUUACUAAGCUACAACUGACACUGAAGCACGAAAGCGUGGAGAUCAAACAGGAUUAGAUACCCUAGUAGUCC
RNAcentral lists this ribosomal RNA (445 nucleotides) under uncultured bacterium. Its description in RNAcentral is "partial 16S ribosomal RNA". It matches the Rfam family "Bacterial small subunit ribosomal RNA", at positions 354 to 796 of the family's 1533-position model. The record is from RNAcentral.